This 438-nucleotide long non-coding RNA is filed under the name Carica papaya (papaya). RNAcentral's name for it is "long non-coding RNA (CPAP_LNC005599)". The record is from RNAcentral. Lineage: Eukaryota; Viridiplantae; Streptophyta; Magnoliopsida; Brassicales; Caricaceae.
CUGCGCGCGCUUGCUCACACAACGCGCGAUGCUUUCGUGCACAGGUCCUCUCAGAACAGCAGGGUGCUUGGUAGAACCUCACACACUUGUGUGCGGUGUACUGCACACACACAACAUGCCAGAGGCCUUAUCUUGACACUUUUGGACACUUGGGUAGUGUCGCGCAUGCACUCCGACGCACGACCAGGCCGUGUGUGUACCUUUUUACUGACACUUUGGUGCCUAGACACUGCAAAUAGAAGCAAUUGACCUCUGUUGAUGUUUUCUCCCAUUUUAUUUCCAUUUAAAUGUUUGUAAAUUAACGAACACCAUUUACAAUCAUCAAUGAAUAUCAUCCAUUAUCAAAUUAUCAUAAAAACACAUAUUAAUCAUAGAAAACAUCCAUGAACACACAAACACACUUCUGUUUCUAUUAAAACCGCAGCAACAAUCCAUUUU